Molecule: ribosomal RNA, 411 nt
Filed under: uncultured microorganism
Description: bacterial SSU rRNA
Rfam family: Archaeal small subunit ribosomal RNA
Source: RNAcentral
GCGCAGCAGGCGCGAAACUUCGCAAUGCGCGAAAGCGCGACGAGGGGAUUCCAAGUGCAUGCACUAAGUGUAUGCUUUUCGCGAGUUUAAAACGCUCACGGAAUAAGGGCCGGGUAAGACUGGUGCCAGCCGCCGCGGUAAUACCAGCGGCCCUAGUGGUGAUCGUUAUUAUUGGGCCUAAAGCGUCCGUAGCCGGUCCGGUAAAUCUCUGGGUAAAUCGUUGGGCUUAACUCAGCGAAUUCUGGGGAGACUGCUGGACUUGGGACCGGGAGAGGUCGGAGGUACUCCAGGGGUAGGGUGAAAUCCUGUAAUCCUUGGGGGACCACCGGUGGCGAAGGCGUCCGACCAGAACGGGUCCGACGGUAAGGGACGAAGCCCUGGGGCGCGAACCGGAUUAGAUACCCGGGUAGU